RNAcentral lists this non-coding RNA (96 nucleotides) under Bacteroidota bacterium. RNAcentral describes it as "Bacteroidetes bacterium TPP sequence". It matches the Rfam family "TPP riboswitch aptamer (THI element)". From Rfam's summary of the family: Vitamin B(1) in its active form thiamin pyrophosphate (TPP) is an essential coenzyme that is synthesised by coupling of pyrimidine and thiazole moieties in bacteria. The record is from RNAcentral. Lineage: Bacteria; Pseudomonadati; Bacteroidota.
AAAUUCACAAUGGGGUGCCCUACCAUCCGGGCUGAGAUCAUACCCUUUGAACCUGAUACGGGUAAUGCCGGCGCAGGGAAUAAGCAACAAAUCUCC